CUCAGAAGGAGCAAAAAGCAGAGCAGGAUCUAAUAGGCUGCUUGCGUCCCUGUCACUGGAUUCGAUGAAAUCCUGUUGUUUAUUAUGCACAUGUCACAUACCUGAAAAAUCAAGUUCUUAGGAGAGGGAAUUUAAUUGGCCUAACUUGUAUCACCCGCCCUUGGGCCGGUCCCACCAAUUUGCAUGUAAUGGGGUACAGAAUUAGGGUAGUCCCCAAAGAAAAAAGUGGUGCUAUUAACAAAUAGAGAAGUAAAUUCUGGGUAGGCAAUAUCAACAGAUUUCAUCUAUGUUAACUUUGAGUUGGUUUGCUACUAGACUGCAGCCUUGUUUUGACAUCAAUUUUUUUUCUCAAAGAAUUUUACUCUUUCAACACCAAGGAAACUCAAGACAGUAGAAAACUACUGGACAAUAGCACCAAGUAAUGUAUUUGUGUGUGAAGACCCACUAAUUUAUGCAAUUAUACCUCAAUCUAUGCAGUAUCUUCUUAAAGAUUAUUAAAAAAUCAAAUUUAUUUUAAAGAAGUUUGCCUUUUAUUUAAAUAAAUACUGUCUAAACU
RNAcentral lists this small RNA (556 nucleotides) under Pongo abelii (Sumatran orangutan). RNAcentral describes it as "sense intronic". Lineage: Eukaryota; Metazoa; Chordata; Mammalia; Primates; Hominidae. The record is from RNAcentral.